RNAcentral lists this ribosomal RNA (253 nucleotides) under uncultured bacterium. RNAcentral describes it as "partial 16S ribosomal RNA". It matches the Rfam family "Bacterial small subunit ribosomal RNA", at positions 524 to 776 of the family's 1533-position model. The record is from RNAcentral.
UACAGAGGGUGCGAGCGUUGUUCGGAAUUAUUGGGCGUAAAGGGCGCGUAGGCGGUGCGGCAAGUCACCUGUGAAACCUCUGGGCUUAACCCAGAGCCUGCAGGCGAAACUGCCGUGCUGGAGUGUGGGAGAGGUGCGUGGAAUUCCCGGUGUAGCGGUGAAAUGCGUAGAUAUCAGGAGGAACACCGGUGGUGUAGACGGCUGACUGGACCAUAACUGACGCUGAGACACGAAAGCGUGGGUAGCAAACAGG